AGCAUAUCAAUAAGCGGAGGAAAAGAAACCAACAGGGAUUGCCUCAGUAACGGCGAGUGAAGCGGCAACAGCUCAAAUUUGAAAUCUGGCCUCACGGUCCGAGUUGUAAUUUGUAGAGGAUGUUUCGGGCACCGCCGCGGUGUAAAUUUCUUGGAACAGAAUGUCAGAGAGGGUGAGAAUCCCGUCUUCGACCGCGGUAGGACCCAUGUGAAACUCCUUCGACGAGUCGAGUUGUUUGGGAAUGCAGCUCAAAAUGGGUGGUAAAUUUCAUCUAAAGCUAAAUAUUGGCCAGAGACCGAUAGCGCACAAGUAGAGUGAUCGAAAGAUGAAAAGCACUUUGAAAAGAGAGUUAAACAGUAUGUGAAAUUGUUGAAAGGGAAGCGCUGGCAACCAGACUCGAGCGCGGUGGUUCCCCCCGGCUUCUGCCGGGGUUACUCCACCGUGACCGGGCCAUCAUCAGUUUUGGGGGUCGGUCAAAGGCGCCGGGAAUGUACCCACUCCUUCGGGGGUGGACUUAUAGCCCGGCGUGUCAUGCGACCUCCCGGGACUGAGGAACGCGCUUCGGCGAGGAUGAUGGCGUAAUGGUUGUCAGCGACCCGUCUUGAAACACGGACCAAGGAGUCUAACAUCUAUGCGAGUGUUCGGGUGUCAAACCCUUGCGCGUAAUGAAAGUGAACGGAGGUAGGAAGGCCUGAGCCUGCACUAUCGACCGAUCCUGAUGUCUUCGGAUGGAUUUGAGUAAGAGCAUAGCUGUUGGGACCCGAAAGAUGGUGAACUAUGCGUGAAUAGGGUGAAGCCAGAGGAAACUCUGGUGGAGGCUCGCAGCGGUUCUGACGUGCAAAUCGAUCGUCAAAUUUGCGUAUAGGGGCGAAAGACUAAUCGAACCAUCUGGUAGCUGGUUCCUGCGA
This 908-nucleotide ribosomal RNA is filed under the name Exophiala placitae. RNAcentral describes it as "LSU rRNA". It matches the Rfam family "Eukaryotic large subunit ribosomal RNA", at positions 37 to 963 of the family's 3401-position model. The record is from RNAcentral. Lineage: Eukaryota; Fungi; Ascomycota; Eurotiomycetes; Chaetothyriales; Herpotrichiellaceae.